Molecule: ribosomal RNA, 321 nt
Filed under: Aphanomyces salsuginosus
Lineage: Eukaryota; Oomycota; Saprolegniomycetes; Saprolegniales; Verrucalvaceae
Description: partial large subunit ribosomal RNA
Source: RNAcentral
AGUAUGAAAAAUAAAUCUUAUACAUAUAAUAUAGAAUCUGUUAAAAAAAGGGAGCAGAAAAUAAAAAAUAUUACUCGUUCUAUAAAAAAUUUAAAUAUUUAAUGUUUAUAAUAAAGUUGUUUCUUAAUAUAAACAUACUUAGAUGUAUAAUAAUAACUAUUAAAAUUAUAAAGAUUUUAUAAACCGUACCCUAAACCAACACAGGUGGAUAGGUCGAGUAGACUAAGGUGUAUGAGAUAAUUAUGUUGAAGGAACUCGGCAAAAUGACUCUGUAACUUCGGGAGAAAGAGUACCUUUUUAUAAAUUAACUAUUAUAAGAAG